GACGAACGCUGGCGGCGUGCUUAACACAUGCAAGUCGAACGGUAAGGCCCUUCGGGGUACACGAGUGGCGAACGGGUGAGUAACACGUGGGUGAUCUGCCCUGCACUUCGGGAUAAGCCUGGGAAACUAGGUCUAAUACCGGAUAGGACCCUGGGAUGCAUGUCCUGGGGUGGAAAGCUUUUGCGGUGUGGGAUGGGCCCGCGGCCUAUCAGCUUGUUGGUGGGGUGAUGGCCUACCAAGGCGACGACGGGUAGCCGGCCGGAGAGGGGAACCGGCCACACUGGGACGGAGCUACGGCCCAGACUCCUACGGGAGGCAGCAGUGGGGAAUAUUGCCCAAUGGGCGCAAGCCUGAUGCAGCGACGCCGCGUGAGGGAUGACGGCCUUCGGGUUGUAAACCUCUUUCAGCACCGACGAAGCGCAAGUGACGGUAGGUGCAGAAGAAGGACCGGCCAACUACGUGCCAGCCGCCGCCGUAA
This 478-nucleotide ribosomal RNA is filed under the name uncultured bacterium. RNAcentral describes it as "partial 16S ribosomal RNA". It matches the Rfam family "Bacterial small subunit ribosomal RNA", at positions 28 to 523 of the family's 1533-position model. The record is from RNAcentral.